This 103-nucleotide small nucleolar RNA is filed under the name Theobroma cacao (cacao). Its description in RNAcentral is "Small nucleolar RNA snoR99". It matches the Rfam family "Small nucleolar RNA snoR99". The record is from Rfam by way of RNAcentral. Lineage: Eukaryota; Viridiplantae; Streptophyta; Magnoliopsida; Malvales; Malvaceae.
GUGCUUGAGGGAUGAAGUAGCCCCUCAUAACUAAUCUCCAUCUGAAUCACUUUGUCAAUUGCCUUUUUUGGUGGCUUAUUGAUCAUUAUGGGAUGGAAAAUGU